GGCUUCGGCGGCUGCGAACGUCCCGGGCUGCCAUGCGCACAAGUGCAGCAAGAGGUGGCGGCGAGAGGCGGAGGGAGCGGGCAGCGGCGGCGUCAGCCCGGUGGGGGACAGCGUCGAUGGCUUGCGGUGGCUUCGGGGGUGGCGGUGUCGCUGGGGGACGGGAGUUGGUGGCGCCACCCGCCGCAGAGGACGCUUCCCGCCUGUCCUCCCUCCCCCGCCUGUUCCUCCCGCUGACACCGCCCGGGAGCAGUGCCGACACCGCCGCCCGGGAAGGCCGGCAUCCGCUGACGACGCCCACGGCCAGCGCCCUCCAACACCAACCGCCCGCCCGCGGCCUUCUACCGCAGCCUCCUCCCGCCGGCUUCAGGGCCCCCGCGCCAGGCACCCGGUGCCCCCGUCCUCACUCAGGCCUCGCCUCCUCGCAGCAGCAGCUCAUAAUGCCUUCGGCUGACACCUACCCGGACGCCUGGAGACACCGCCGCCCGCCAGUGCCUCCUCCCGCUGACGCCGCUGUCGCGCGCCGAAGCCCUGCACCGCUGGCCAGCGCCCAUCGACACCUAACGUCCGCGGCCUUCUACCGCAGCCUCCUCCCGCCGGCUUCAGGGCCCCCUCGCCAGGGACCCGGUGCCCCCGUCCUCACGCAGGCCACGCCCCCUCGCCGCAGCAGCUCAUAAUGCCUCCCGCUGACACCCGGCCCGGACGCUUGCCGACACCGCUGCCUGCCAUUGCCUUCUCCUGCUGACACCUACUUCGCUGCCUUUGCCAACACUCGCGGACGCCCAGCGCCUUCGGCAGCCAGACGUCACCGCCUUCUACCCCAGACUCCUGCCGCCACCAACAGGGACCCUCCUUCACGGGGACCGGACCCCCUCCUUCCCACGCAGUCCUGGCCGCCGUGCAGCAGCCUCAGCUCAUAGUCUCCACAGGAAGCAACUUCGUCUGUCUGAAGUCAAUUCAUGAAAGUUCUACUUAAUCCAUUUCUGCAAACGUGCUGUUCUCUACCUCCUGGGUUACACGAGGCAGGUCAGCAGUGUAAAGAACUGGCUGUUCAUAUACAGCUUUGUGCAGAAGUUGGUAAACAAAUUUGGAAAGUAUGGCCUUUCAGCUCUGUAUUGCAGGGUGUUUUCCUGAUAACUGAGUACAUUGCUAUUUAGAUGCAGCGGAUGUGGGACUGCUUCAGGUCACAAAGCUCAGGGCAGUGUUCUGAAGCAGGAAAAAGGACAGAUCACACUUGUUUCCUAAGAUCACAACCCUGCUUGGCUCCUUCCUGGGAGUCAGGUCGUGGUUUCAGGGACACAGUCUUCCCUGGAGGACCUCACAGAUUAGGAAAUAGGCAAACUACUUAACACUGUAACUAAACAUCUGGAUGUGGACAUUUGACCUAGAUCUUGAAGGAUGAGAAAGACAAGGUAACAAGAACCAUGAAGGUCAUUUGAGCAGUAAGGGGUCUAUUUGGCUGAACAUGAUUAACACAGGAAGGCUGGGAGAUGCAGCGAGAGGUCAGCUUGGGGCCAAGGCCAAAGAGGCCAAUAAUGCCAGGAAGAAGGGCUUGGAUUUCCUGCUGUGAGCCAUAGGGAGCUUUGGAUGAUGUGUGAUCAGGGGUCUGACGUGACUCCAGAAAGACACGACUCCGCUGUACUCCAGGAAGAGAGGUCUCAUACUUGUGGACAAGGGCCAGGACUGGUGGGGAGCUCAUACAGGGACCUAUGCUAACAAUUUAACUGAAGGAUAAUGAGGGCCAGGUGAUCAGAAGAGAGUGGCCACGAAAAGGGAGGGGAGAAUAUGAAUGGCUGCCAAGAGGAAGAAUAAUUUCUUUGAGGUGAGGGGGAGGGAGGUGGGGAAGAUAGUCCAGAAAGGAGGACAAGUGAAAAUGCAAAGAAUUUUACAGGAGAGGAGAGGCCAGCUUGGGAGGCCCUUGUGGAAGUGUAUGUAGCUGUCUAUCUCCUUGUGCAUGCAGCAGGCCUGUGUGCAUGUUGGUGUGUGUGUGUGUGUGUGUGUAUGUGUGUGAGAAAGAGAGAGGCAGAGAGAAAAAAACAGAAUUUUGGGAUUUGGACUACAUGAGCAGGAUGCUAUGCCACACUCUGACAAGCAGCUGCACACCUUCCAGGCCUCAUAAUCCUUCCCUAAAGUUAUGAGAACUUCUGGAGUCUGUAAAUGGACUCCAGACUAAAAGAGACAGAAUGGAAAGCAGGGAAUUUGGCAGGCACCCCCUCCCUGGUGCCCAACCUCACUCCCCAGGCACUGUUUGAUGGGUAGAGGUCCAUCCUCUGGGCGACCCUGAGAGAGCCGCAUUUGAGGCUUUCCCCAGCUAAGCUCACAAGUGACCCCUUGUUACCUGCUCAGAAUUACCUGGUCUUUCUGGGAACCUUCCAUGCCCACAAAAUAAAGAGUUGCCCCAACUGCUUAGAUUCUGCAGCCUGAGAAAAGGAAAGUGUUGGGUAUAAUACAUUUGAUCCAAAUAUGUGGAUCAGAAGGCUGGUAACAAUGGACUGAAUUCACUUCCACCACUGUCUCUGUAAAUGGUCAUGGCAGCAGUUUUCCAUCUGUCAACGUGAUGGUGAGUCUGGGAGCAUCGCCUGUGGGAGAAGCAGGGAGCGACUGGGUCAAUGAGAGCAACUGCCACAGGCUGCCAGGACCCAAACACUGCUUGCCGCACCUCACCCUCCUGGGGAGAGGCCACCUGGACCUGAGCUCCUGCCACCCACAUGCCUGGAAGGCUUUGCAGCUUAUCAUGCAACAAGAAGGGCCCCUAGCCCAGGACCCACUCUGCAGAUGAGGUGAGUGAUCCCAGCUCAGGGGUGACGGGUGCCUGGAGGAGAGGCCUGAAGGAAACCUCCCCCCAGGAAGAGCCAGGCCCCACCCGGUGAGGAGAACCCAGUCCUGCGGGGCCCAGAGAUGACAGGGAUGGACAGGAACCGGUUGGCAGACGUUGAGGAAGAAAGAGCCCCACAGUGUCUGUCAGGCUCUGCCGUCUCUUCCCUGAUUCCACAUCGUCUAUUGUUGUCAGACCCAUUGGUUCCUCCUAAGCUUCCCACGGCAGCUGAGAGCCAUCCUGCUCUCCCUGCAGGCAGUGUGGGGCCCCAGGGAACCCAAAACACACCUGCCAGAGUCCCCUUGCAGGGGACUGUUCCAGCCACAGCGCCUGCCCCAUGCUUACACCUGUCAGAGCUCAGAGGGGCCUGAACCACAGGGUCUGGCAGCCAUGGUGCCACCUGCCAUUGGGUCCAGGACCACUUUCUGGUCUGUUCUCUGCCUUCCUCUGGUCCCCACCAAACUGCAAUGUAAUGAACCUGCCCCCCUGAGCAGGACAAGGGUCCUCUUGUCUUCUGUGUGUCCCUGAAAUGCAGGCCUUGUACCCCACCCUUCCAACUCCUGCCCCAGGCCCACCCCAUGUUUUCCCCUCACGUCCUCUCUGUGGUCACUCUGUGUUGCCUCCAACCUUUGACCUUUCCCUCUAAAUGUAGCCCAUGACUCUCCACCAAAAAUUCUGAUUUGUUCCAAAUUCCAAACCUUUCAGUGACUGACAGUAAUCUCACCCCAAACACACAAGGCUGGUAGGCCCCCUGCCCAUGGUGGAGGCUGCAGUGUGGGAUCAGCAAUGCCCUGGGGACAGAGCCGGAGGGGACUUCCCAGUCUCAAGGCAGCAACCUGCCUUAAGUUUCCUCACAGCCACAUCUGCUUUUCAGGACAAACUGAGCACCUUGUUAGACAUUCAGAUGCUCACCCAAGAAACAUACGUGUGUGUCCAGCUGCCCACGAGCAUGGAGAGGAAUGCUUCCCCUCCCACCCCAAUGACACCCCAUCAGGGGGCGCUGCCCUGCGACCCAGGGAUCUGCCAUAAAUUUAUCCUUCGGUCCCUCUGUAUCUGCAACUGCUGGUGCCCAUGUUGCCAGCCCCCUCCAUCUGGACGCUCCUCACCAAAUGCGGCCGCUCUUCCCUCCUGCGGCCCAGGCGCUCUGCCCUGCCACAGUACAACUCCCACCCCAUAACCCAGUCUCUGUUUAACAAUAUUGUUAAAGUGCUCUGUGCAAA
Molecule: non-coding RNA, 4032 nt
Organism: Manis javanica (Malayan pangolin)
Lineage: Eukaryota; Metazoa; Chordata; Mammalia; Pholidota; Manidae
Source: RefSeq, a predicted model, not a curated record